UUGAACGCUGGCGGCAUGCCUUACACAUGCAAGUCGAACGGCAUCGCGGGAAAGCUUGCUUUCCUGGCGGCGCGUGGCGAACGGGUGAGUAACACAUCGGAACGUACCGGCUAGUGGGGGAUAACCCGUCGAAAGACGGGCUAAUACCGCAUACGCUCUUCGGAGGAAAGCAGGGGACCUUUGGGCCUUGCGCUAGCCGAGCGGCCGAUGUCCGAUUAGCUAGUUGGUGGGGUAAAGGCCUACCAAGGCGACGAUCGGUAGCGGGUCUGAGAGGACGAUCCGCCACACUGGGACUGAGACACGGCCCAGACUCCUACGGGAGGCAGCAGUGGGGAAUCUUGGACAAUGGGGGCAACCCUGAUCCAGCAAUGCCGCGUGGGUGAAGAAGGCCUUCGGGUUGUAAAGCCCUUUCGGCAGGGAAGAAAUCGGCGGGGCGAAUAACCCUGCUGGAUGACGGUACCUGCAGAAGAAGCACCGGCUAACUACGUG
Molecule: ribosomal RNA, 489 nt
Filed under: uncultured bacterium
Lineage: Bacteria
Description: partial 16S ribosomal RNA
Rfam family: Bacterial small subunit ribosomal RNA
Source: RNAcentral